AGUGGUUCACAGAUAAUGUUGCAGACACAAGUGGAUUAGCACAAUUCCAUGAUUUUAUAGAUUGACCAUUUUACAUCCUUUAAAGGAGCCAACCAUGUCUGACUAAUUCUGAGAAGGAGCAACAACCGUAUGCUGUUUCACUCAGGGAGCACCAAUGACCAACAAUUGUACCCUGCAGGAAACACUCAUGCCCGAGUGUUCCCCACAGGGAGCUCCCAUGCCAAGAUUGUUCACUCUAGGAUUAUCUGUACCUGCCUCUUCCACACGGAACCUUCGUGUUCAGAAAGGGCAAUCACCGUCUUCAUGUCUGUUCCAGGAGCGCCGGGAGUAUAAACCUCAAGCCUCCUUGAGACAGAGAGCACCCAGGUGUGUUAAGACCCCAGAGAGAUUAUCUGAGCUUCAGUGUUCCUCACAGGAAGCGCCCCUGUCUGAGGGUUUCUCAGGAACACCUGUGCUGGAGUAUUCUUCUCAAGGAACACCGGUUUCCAUAGAAUCCCUGCAGGGAGUAAACAUGCCUGCUCAGACCCCUCAGGGAGCACCUCUGCUUGAGAGUUUUCCAGAGGGAGGGCCAGUGUUCAAGUGUUUUCAAGAGGGAGCACCAAUGACCAUGUGUUCCCCACAGGCAGCUUCUGUGAUUGAGUGUUCCCCACAGGGAGCUCUGGGAUUAUCUGUACCCACCCUUCAUGUCCAGAAAAGGCGAUCACAGCCUUCAUGUCUGUUUCAGGAGCGCCGGGAGUAUAAGCCUCAAGCCUCCUUGAGACAGAGAGCACCUAAGCCUGUUAAGUUCCCACAGAGAUCACCUGUGCCUGAGUGUUCCUCAGAGGGAGCACCUGUGCUUGAGUGUUCCACUCAGGGAACUCAAGUUUCCACAGGAUCCCUGCAGGGAUUAUAUAUGCCAGCUGAGGCACCACAGGGAGAAUCUGUGCUUGCCGAUUUCCCAAAGGGAUGGCCAUUUUUCAAGUGUUCCCCAGAAGGAUCAUUCAUACCCAAGUGUUCCACACAGGGAGCAUAUGUGUCCAAAUGUUCCACACAGAGAGAAUAUGUGCACACCGGGAGCAUACAAGGAGCAAUGGUGCUUAAGUGUUCCCCACAGGGAGAACCUGUGUUUGGGUUGCCCCCAGCAGAACCGUUUAUUCCCAAAGGUUCCCCUCAGGGAGCAUUUUCCAAUCAUGGAACACCCAUGCCCAAGUUGUUUACCCUGGGAAAAUCUGUACCCAUCUUAUCCACAAAGAAGUACCAGUUACAUAAGUAUCGAACUUUCUUGAGACAGAGAACACACUUGUCUGUCAAGACCGCACAGAAAUCUCCUGUGCCUGAGUUUUCCUCACAGGGAGCACCUGUGACUGAAUGUUUCCCAAAAGAAGCACCCCUGUCUGAGUGUUUCUCAGGAACACCUGUGCUGGAGUAUUCUUCUCAAGGAACACCGGUUUCCACAGGAUCCCUGCAGGGAGUAUACAUACCUGCUAAGACCCCACAGGGAGCACCUCUGCUUGAGAGUUUUCCAGAGGGAGGGCCAGUGUUCAAGUGUUCGCCAGAGGGUUCAUACAUACCCAUGUGUUCUCCACAGGGAGCACCCAUGUCCAAGUGUUCGACACAGGGAGCCCCUGUAUUACAGGAAGAUCCUGUGUCUGGGUGUUUUCAAGAGGGAGCACCAAUGCCCAUGUGCUCCCCACAGGCAGCUUCUGUGACUGAGUGUUCCCCACAGGGAGCUCUGGGAUUAUCUGUACCCACCCUUCAUGUCCAGAAAGGGCGAUCACAGCCUUCAUGUCUGUUUCAGGAGCGCCGGGAGUAUAAGCCUCAAGCCUCCUUGAGACAGAGAGCACCUAAGCCUGUUAAGUCCCCACAGAGAUCACCUGUGCUUGAGUGUUACACUCAGGGAACUCCAGUUUCCACAGAAUCCCUGCAGGGAGUAUAUUUGCCAGCUGAGACCCCACAGGGAGAAUCUGUGCUUGCAAAUUUCCCAGAGGGAGGGCCACUGCUCAAGUGUUCCCCAGAGGGAUCAUUCAUACCCAAGUGUUCCACACAGGGAGCACGUGUGUCCAAAUGUUCCACACAGAGAGAAUAUGUGCACACCGGGAGCAUACAAGGAGCAAUGGUGCUUAAGUGUUCCCCACAGGGAGAACCUGUGUUUGAGUCGCCCCCAGCGGAACCGUUUAUUCCCAAAGGUUCCCCUCAGGGAGCAUUUUCCAAUCAUGGAACACCCAUGCCCAAGUUGUUCACCCUGGGAAUAUCUGUACCCGUCUUAUCCACAAAGGACAAACAGCUACAUAAGUAUCAAGCCUUCUUGAGACAGAGAAAACGCUUGUCUGUCAAGACUGCAAAGAAAUCUCCUGUGCCUGAGUUUUCCUCACAGGGAGCACCUGUGACUGAAUGUUUACCAAAGGAAGCACCCCUGUCUGAGUGUUUCUCAGGAACACCUGUGCUGGAGUAUUCUUCUCAAGGAAAACUGGUUUCCACAGGAUCCCCACAGGAAGUAUACAUGCCUGCUAAGACCCCACAUGAAGCACCUCUGCUUGAGAGUUAUCCAGAGGGAGGGCCGGUGUUUGAGUUACCCCCAGCGGAAGCGUUCACUCCCGAAGGUUCCCCUCAGGGAGCAUCUUCCAAUCAUAGAACACCCAUGCCCAAGUUGUUCACCCUAGGAAUAUCUAUACCCGUCUUAUCCACAAAGAAGUACCAGCUACAUAAGUAUCAAGCUUUCUUGAGACAGAGAACACAUUCAUCUGUCAAGACCGCACAGAAAUCUCCUGUGCCUGAGUUUUCCUCUCAGGGAGUACCUGUGACUGAAUGUUUCCCAAAGGAAGCACCCCUGUCUGAGUGUUUCUCAGGAACACCUGUGCUGGAGUAUUCUUCUCAAGGAACACUGGUUUCCACAGGAUCCACACAGGAAGUAUACAUGGCUGCUAAGACCCCACAGGAAGCACCUCUGCUUGAGAGUUAUUCAGAGGGAGGGCCGGUGUUUGAGUUACCCCCAGCGGAAGUGUUUACUCCCGAAGGUUCCCCUCAGGGAGCAUCAUCCAAUCAUAGAACACCCAUGCCUAAGUUGUUUACCCUAGGAACAUCUGUACCCGUCUUAUCCACAAAGAAAAACCAGCUACAUAAGUGUCAAGCCUUCUUGAGACAGAGAAAAUGCUUGUCUGUCAAGACUGCACAGAAAUCUCCUGUGCCCGAGUCUUCCUCUCAGGGAGCACCUGUGACUGAAUGUUUCCCACAGAAAGAACCCAUUCUUGAGUGUUACCCAGAGGAAGGACCCAUGAUUGUGUAUUCCCUGGAGGAAGAACCCAUGCUUGUGUGUUCCAUAGAUGAAGAACCCAUGUUUGUGUGUUCCCCAGAGGAAGAAUCCGUGAUUGUGUGUUCCCCAGAGGAAGAACCCAUGCUUGUGUGUUCCUCAGAGGAAGAACCCAUGCUUGUGAGUUUCUCAGAAAAAACUUCAGAGUCUGAGUUUUCUCCACAGGAAGCACUCAUGCUUGAGUCUUCCCCUCAGGGAGCAUCUUCCCCUCAUCAAAAACCCUUGCCUGAUGGCUUCCCUCUUGAAGCUUCCAUACCCAAGUUAGUCAGUCUGGCAAUAUCUUCACUCGUUUCUUCCAUAUGGAAGCGCCAGAAGCAUAAGUCUCAACCUUCCUUGAGACAGAGAACACUUUUACCUGCCAGGUCCUCACAGAAAUCACCUGUACCAGAGAGUUCUUCACAAGAUGCGGCCAUGCCUGAGUGUUCCCCUGAGGAAGCAUCCAUGACCACCGGGACCCCACAAAACUUGUCUUGUGACCAUCUUGACAAAGCUACAGUGGAGGCAACAGAACCCUGCAGGUCCCCAUAUAAUAAGGCAAGGAUGUCACAGGGAGUCUCCCAACCUGCCAAGGGUCAAAAAGAAGCACCCAUGCCUGAGUGUUCCUCAGAGGAAGAAGAACCCAUGCUUGUGUGUUACCCAGAGGAAGAACCCAUGCUUGUGUGUUACCCAGAGGAAGAACCCAUGCUUGUGUGUUUCUCAGAGAAAGCAUCCAAGCCUGAGUUUUCCCCACAGGAAGCCCUCAUGCCUGAGUCUUACCCUCAGGAAGUAUCUUCCCCUCGUCAAACACCCUCGCCCUCUGGCAUCCCUGAUGAAGCUCCCAUGCCCAAGUUAUUCAAUCUUGGAAUAUCUUCGCCCGUUUCUUCCACAAGGAAGCACCAGCAGGAUAAGUCUCAAGCUUCCUUGAAACACAGAAAGAAACUAUUGCCCGUCAAGUCCUUACAGAAAUCACCUGUGCCAGAGAGUUCUUCACAAGGAGCAGCCAUGCCUGAGUGUUCCUCUCAGGAAGCAUCCAUGCACACCGGGACCCCACAAAGCCUUUCUCUUCUUACAGUCCAUCUUGACAAAGCAAAGGUGGAGGAACCAUACAGGUCCUCAUUUAAUAAGGCUAGGACGUCACAGGGAGUAUCCCAACCUGCCAAGACUCUGAAAGAAACACCCAUGCCUGAAUGUUCCUCAGAGGAAGAACCCCUGCUUGUGUAUUCCCCGGAGGAAGAACCCAUGAUUGUGUGUUCCCCAGAGGAAGAACCUAUGCUUGUGUGUUCCCUGGAGGAAGAACCCAUGCUUGUGUGUUCCCUGGAGAGACUACCUGAGCCUGAGUUUUCCCCACAGGGAGCACCAACUCUGUCCCUUCAGCAAUACAAUAAAUGUGCUCCAUGCAAAAAACAGCACACAAUAAAAGAUGCGAAGGUACAGCAGAAGCCUCAAAGAAGGAGAAAAAAGAGGAACCAAAGGCAGCAGGCAAGACCUUGUCCGAGCUCCCAACCUAAUCUGAAAAGAAAAUAUGCAUGUAGCAGAAACAAACUGGACAACUUAAAUGUAUGUCAGCUUUCAAGGAGGAAAAAUACAAACAACAGAGGUCAACGCUUCUUUCACCUCAGAGCCUGUCCAUGCAGCCAUAUUUAUUUGAGAAGUCAGCAGUCGAGACAGCGAAACUCUUGUGCCCGUCAACCGCCAAAUGCAGACCAAAUGCAAAGAGCUCAUUGGAACCCUUACCCAAGAUCCUGUCCACGGUACCAACCCAGUUGGUGGAGACAGCAAAACCCGCAUACCCAUCAAAGAGGACCAAUGCAUCUGAGGCAAAGAACUGUAAGACUUCCCCCCAGAGCAUAUCCAUGGCCCAGGCAGUGGAACCCUCAUCGCCCUCAAUCACGACCAUCAGAUCUGGGACAAAGAGCUCAGAGAGCUCCCCCAAGAGCACAUCCAUGGUUCCAGCCAAGUUUGUGGAGGCAACAGAAUGUUUAUGCUUCUCAAUCACAACCACGGCAUCUGGGGCAAAGAGCUAUGAGGCUUCAUCCAAGAACAUAUCCAUGGUCCCAUCCCUAUUUUAGGAGGCAGAAGAACCCUCAUGCCCAUCAAUCACGACCAUCACAUUUAGGGCAAAGAGAACUGAGGGUUCAUCCAAGAGUGCAUCCUUCAGUCCAGCCCCACUUGUGGAGGCAACAGAAUGCUUAUGCCCCUCAAUCAAGACCAUGGCAUCUGGGGCAAAGAGCUCUGAGGCUUCACCCAAGAGCAUAUCUAUGGUCCCAUCCCCAUUUUUGGAGGCAGCAAAAUCCUAAUGCCUAUCAGUCACGACUAUCACAUCUGGGGCAAAGAGCUCUGAGGGUUCACCCAAGAGCCUAUUCAUGAUUCCACUCCAACUCAUGAGUCACCUAGUUCGUAAAAUAUUUGGUGACUAAAAGCCCCAACUGAAAACAUUUUUAUACUUUAGAAAAAUUUACAUUUAUUUUUAUAAUCUGUGCAUUUGUAAGAAAAUAUCUGUGCAUUUGUAAGGAAAUAUCUGCAUUUAUAAGAAAAUGUGCAUUUUUAUGAAAAUAUCUGUGCAUUAGUAAGAAAAUAUCUGUGCAUUUGUAAGAAAGUAUCUCUGCAUUUGUAAAAAAAUAAAUAAAAAUCUGUUAAUUUA
Molecule: long non-coding RNA, 5906 nt
Organism: Cyprinus carpio carpio
Lineage: Eukaryota; Metazoa; Chordata; Actinopteri; Cypriniformes; Cyprinidae
Source: Ensembl